This 253-nucleotide ribosomal RNA is filed under the name uncultured bacterium. Its description in RNAcentral is "partial 16S ribosomal RNA". It matches the Rfam family "Bacterial small subunit ribosomal RNA", at positions 524 to 776 of the family's 1533-position model. The record is from RNAcentral.
CACGUAGGGCGCGAGCGUUGUCCGGAAUUAUUGGGCGUAAAGAGCUCGUAGGCGGCUGUUCAAGUCGAACGUGAAAACUCGGAGCUCAACUCCGAGCCUGCGUUCGAUACUGGAUGGCUAGAGUCUGGUAGGGGGAUCUGGAAUUCCUGGUGUAGCGGUGGAAUGCGCAGAUAUCAGGAGGAACACCAAUGGCGAAGGCAGCUCGCUGGGACGUUACUGACGCUGAGACGCGAAAGCGUGGGGAGCAAACAGG